RNAcentral lists this long non-coding RNA (871 nucleotides) under Homo sapiens (human). RNAcentral describes it as "non-protein coding lnc-SWT1-1:8". The record is from RNAcentral. Lineage: Eukaryota; Metazoa; Chordata; Mammalia; Primates; Hominidae.
GCACAAUAGCCUGAGAGAUCAGACGUGGGAGAUUAGAUUGCUCGGCGUCAGACCUACUUCUAGGCAACCCCCCCUAGACUGGAGCUGCUCGUCGUGGACAUUAGGAUCUAGUUGGGCAUGAGCCCUUAACUUAAGGGUCGGGGGGGAAGUGGCGGGUGCGGAGAGGAGGCGUGGAGAGUGUGAGGAAGAAGAGAGGCACUCUGAGAAGAAGUCGAACAACUAACCCCUCAUUUGGCCUGGUUUGGGUGAGAAGAUUGAGUCACUUGGGGAAAAAAAUAUUGGAGAAGUCAGAGAAGGUGUAAAUCAGUGGUGCCACAAACACCAGUUUACUUCCACUUUUCACCCCCCGGGUCUGUUUUGUCUGCGUGCAGCUCUCCUCGUGUCGGAGACGCUGAGUCAGUUCUCUACUGGUCUUGCCCUCUUCCGGAAAAAGAAAACACACCUGAGAAGUGGUAGUUCCUAUCCUAACCUACUGGGGCCCUUUAUACCAGGUGCCAAACUUCAUUAUCCACCCCACCACCUUGCCCGGGAGGGAGAUCUGUGAAAGCGAAACGUGAUUUAAGCUGGGAUCUGGCAGCAACUUCGUGGACUCUGAAGGGCACGUGGGAAAGGAGUUUUGAUUGAAGAGAGACAAGACCAUCAAGUAGACCAGCACACUCCAAACAGAUCUUUGGAAAGAAGGCAUUGAGAGUGGACAGAGGGAGGAUGCAGACCCUGGGGCUGAAAGGAGAGAAAGUUGGAAAUCCUGCACAGGGUUGCCAAGCACUGGAACUCAAUCCUGACCACAAGUGGCUCUUAGGGAAGCAGUAAGUUGAAUAGGCAUGGAGCAGCCCACUCUCACCAUGGACCUCCAGGAUCCUAGCUGUGGGAG